Molecule: ribosomal RNA, 2895 nt
Filed under: Escherichia coli
Lineage: Bacteria; Pseudomonadati; Pseudomonadota; Gammaproteobacteria; Enterobacterales; Enterobacteriaceae
Description: 23S ribosomal RNA
Rfam family: Bacterial large subunit ribosomal RNA
Source: RNAcentral
GGUUAAGCGACUAAGCGUACACGGUGGAUGCCCUGGCAGUCAGAGGCGAUGAAGGACGUGCUAAUCUGCGAUAAGCGUCGGUAAGGUGAUAUGAACCGUUAUAACCGGCGAUUUCCGAAUGGGGAAACCCAGUGUGAUUCGUCACACUAUCAUUAACUGAAUCCAUAGGUUAAUGAGGCGAACCGGGGAACUGAAACAUCUAAGUACCCCGAGGAAAAGAAAUCAACCGAGAUUCCCCAGUAGCGGCGAGCGAACGGGGAGCAGCCCAGAGCCUGAAUCAGUGUGUGUGUUAGUGGAAGCGUCUGGAAAGGCGCGCGAUACAGGGUGACAGCCCCGUACACAAAAAUGCACAUACUGUGAGCUCGAUGAGUAGGGCGGGACACGUGGUAUCCUGUCUGAAUAUGGGGGACCAUCCUCCAAGGCUAAAUACUCCUGACUGACCGAUAGUGAACCAGUACCGUGAGGGAAAGGCGAAAAGAACCCCGGCGAGGGAGUGAAAAAGAACCUGAAACCGUGUACGUACAAGCAGUGGGAGCCUCUUUAUGGGGUGACUGCGUACCUUUUGUAUAAUGGGUCAGCGACUUAUAUUCUGUAGCAAGGUUAACCGAAUAGGGGAGCCGAAGGGAAACCGAGUCUUAACUGGGCGUUAAGUUGCAGGGUAUAGACCCGAAACCCGGUGAUCUAGCCAUGGGCAGGUUGAAGGUUGGGUAACACUAACUGGAGGACCGAACCGACUAAUGUUGAAAAAUUAGCGGAUGACUUGUGGCUGGGGGUGAAAGGCCAAUCAAACCGGGAGAUAGCUGGUUCUCCCCGAAAGCUAUUUAGGUAGCGCCUCGUGAAUUCAUCUCCGGGGUAGAGCACUGUUUCGGCAAGGGGUCAUCCCGACUUACCAACCCGAUGCAAACUGCGAAUACCGGAGAAUGUUAUCACGGGAGACACACGGCGGGUGCUAACGUCCGUCGUGAAGAGGGAAACAACCCAGACCGCCAGCUAAGGUCCCAAAGUCAUGGUUAAGUGGGAAACGAUGUGGGAAGGCCCAGACAGCCAGGAUGUUGGCUUAGAAGCAGCCAUCAUUUAAAGAAAGCGUAAUAGCUCACUGGUCGAGUCGGCCUGCGCGGAAGAUGUAACGGGGCUAAACCAUGCACCGAAGCUGCGGCAGCGACACUAUGUGUUGUUGGGUAGGGGAGCGUUCUGUAAGCCUGUGAAGGUGUGCUGUGAGGUAUGCUGGAGGUAUCAGAAGUGCGAAUGCUGACAUAAGUAACGAUAAAGCGGGUGAAAAGCCCGCUCGCCGGAAGACCAAGGGUUCCUGUCCAACGUUAAUCGGGGCAGGGUGAGUCGACCCCUAAGGCGAGGCCGAAAGGCGUAGUCGAUGGGAAACAGGUUAAUAUUCCUGUACUUGGUGUUACUGCGAAGGGGGACGGAGAAGGCUAUGUUGGCCGGGCGACGGUUGUCCCGGUUUAAGCGUGUAGGCUGGUUUUCCAGGCAAAUCCGGAAAAUCAAGGCUGAGGCGUGAUGACGAGGCACUACGGUGCUGAAGCAACAAAUGCCCUGCUUCCAGGAAAAGCCUCUAAGCAUCAGGUAACAUCAAAUCGUACCCCAAACCGACACAGGUGGUCAGGUAGAGAAUACCAAGGCGCUUGAGAGAACUCGGGUGAAGGAACUAGGCAAAAUGGUGCCGUAACUUCGGGAGAAGGCACGCUGAUAUGUAGGUGAAGUCCCUUGCGGAUGGAGCUGAAAUCAGUCGAAGAUACCAGCUGGCUGCAACUGUUUAUUAAAAACACAGCACUGUGCAAACACGAAAGUGGACGUAUACGGUGUGACGCCUGCCCGGUGCCGGAAGGUUAAUUGAUGGGGUUAGCGGUAACGCGAAGCUCUUGAUCGAAGCCCCGGUAAACGGCGGCCGUAACUAUAACGGUCCUAAGGUAGCGAAAUUCCUUGUCGGGUAAGUUCCGACCUGCACGAAUGGCGUAAUGAUGGCCAGGCUGUCUCCACCCGAGACUCAGUGAAAUUGAACUCGCUGUGAAGAUGCAGUGUACCCGCGGCAAGACGGAAAGACCCCGUGAACCUUUACUAUAGCUUGACACUGAACAUUGAGCCUUGAUGUGUAGGAUAGGUGGGAGGCUUUGAAGUGUGGACGCCAGUCUGCAUGGAGCCGACCUUGAAAUACCACCCUUUAAUGUUUGAUGUUCUAACGUUGGCCCCUGAUCGGGGUUGCGGACAGUGUCUGGUGGGUAGUUUGACUGGGGCGGUCUCCUCCUAAAGAGUAACGGAGGAGCACGAAGGUUGGCUAAUCCUGGUCGGACAUCAGGAGGUUAGUGCAAUGGCAUAAGCCAGCUUGACUGCGAGCGUGACGGCGCGAGCAGGUGCGAAAGCAGGUCAUAGUGAUCCGGUGGUUCUGAAUGGAAGGGCCAUCGCUCAACGGAUAAAAGGUACUCCGGGGAUAACAGGCUGAUACCGCCCAAGAGUUCAUAUCGACGGCGGUGUUUGGCACCUCGAUGUCGGCUCAUCACAUCCUGGGGCUGAAGUAGGUCCCAAGGGUAUGGCUGUUCGCCAUUUAAAGUGGUACGCGAGCUGGGUUUAGAACGUCGUGAGACAGUUCGGUCCCUAUCUGCCGUGGGCGCUGGAGAACUGAGGGGCUGCUCCUAGUACGAGAGGACCGGAGUGGACGCAUCACUGGUGUUCGGGUUGUCAUGCCAAUGGCACUGCCCGGUAGCUAAAUGCGGAAGAGAUAAGUGCUGAAAGCAUCUAAGCACGAAACUUGCCCCGAGAUGAGUUCUCCCUGACUCCUUGAGAGUCCUGAAGGAACGUUGAAGACGACGACGUUGAUAGGCCGGGUGUGUAAGCGCAGCGAUGCGUUGAGCUAACCGGUACUAAUGAACCGUGAGGCUUAACCUU